GAGGGAGGGCGAGCUGGACGAGUCGGCCGCUCGCGGGCCCCCGCCGCCGGGACUGCGGGAGCAGGGGCGGGGCGCGCACCGGGCCUCUGUGACUCGCGGCGCGGGGGCCGGGGCGGCCUACGCACGUGGCCCGGGCGGCGCGGGGCAGGUCGACCCCGGGUCGCGGCGGCCUCUGCCCGCGACCAGGCCGGGCCCCUGACCGCGCCGUUCCGUCCUUCUGUCGCCCGGUGAAAAAGUGCCCCCACCCCGAGGUUGGGGGGGGCCACCGCGAUCACCGGUGAUCCCGAGCCACGUCCAGGAUGGAGAUUGUGUAAUCUGCAGCUAUUCCUCUUCCUUGGAGACCUUUAAAGCACACGGUUCUUAAACCUGGCUGCACAUUAGGAUCGCCUAGGGAGCUUUAAAAAUACCAACUGCAAGCCAACUGAAUCUGAAUCUCUGGGGUAAGAGAGAUCCAGCAUAGCACUGUUUAUUACUGGUGAAAAAUGAGAAACAUCAACAGGGUACUAGUUAAUAAGUCAUGGAACAUCCAUCCACAUGACUGAUUUUUAUGCAGCAGUAAAAAAGGAAAAGGAAACAUUUGUGUAUAAAAGAAAAGGACUUUCAGAGCUGGAGAGGAGAUAUCCAUGCCUGGCUUCAAAACUUCAAAGAAGGGGCUGACUGUCUUGUUAGAGGCUAAUGCAGCUGGUGUCAUUAAGUAGAAGCCAGGACUCAUUUACCAUUUCAAAAAUCCUAGGGCUCCUAGUUAUUAUGCUAAAUCUACUAUUUCUUGUUAUAUGAAUGGAACAACAAAGCUUAGAUGACAGUGUAUCUCUUGACAACACGGUUUACGAAAUAUUUCAAGACCACUGUUGAGACUAACAGCUCAGAAAAAAAUUCCUACUACAUUGACAAUGCAUCUAGUUACCCAAGAGCUCUAUUGGGGAGUACAACAAGAUUAAUGUUUUCAGGCCUGCUAAUGCAACAUUCAUUCUAUAGCGCAUGGAUCAAGGAAUAAUUUUGACUCUCAAGUCUUAUUAUUUAAGAACUACAUUUCAUAAGGCUAUAGCUACUAUAGAUAAUGAUUUCUCUGAUGGAUUUGGGCAAAGCUAAUUAAAAACCUUGUGGAAAGGGAUCACCAUUCUAGACGCCAGUAAGGUCACUUGUGAUUCAUGAAAAGAGGUCAACAUAUCAAUAUUCACAGGAGUUUGGAAGAAUCGGAUUCCAACCCUCAUGGAUGACUUUGUGGAGUAACUGUAGAUGUGGUAGAAAUAGCAAAGGAACUAGAAUUAGAAGUAAAGCCUGAUGAUGAGACUGAAUUGCUACAAUCUCAUGAUAAACCUUUAAUGGACGAGGAAUUGCUUCUAAUGGUUGAACAAAAAAAUGCUUUCUUGAGAUGGAAUCUAAACUUGGUAAAGAUGCUAUGAAAAAUUGCUGAGUGACAACAAAGGAUUUAAAAUAUUACAUAAACUUAGUUGAUAAAUCAGUGGCAGGGUUUGAAAGGAUGGACUCCAAUUUUGAAAGUUCUGUUGAAGGUAAAAUGCUAUGAAACAGCAUCCCAUGCUUUAAAGAAAUUGUGAAAGGAAGAGUAAAUUGAUGUGGCAAACUUUGUUAUUGUUUUAAGAAAUUAUCACAGCCACCACCACUCCUGAUCACUCAGUAGCCAUCAACAUUGAGGUAAGACCCUCCACCAGCAGAGAUUAUGACACUGAAAGCUCUGAUAAUGGUUAGCAUUUUUAAGCAAUAAAGCUUUUUAUUUCAUUUUAUUUUAUUGAAGUAUAGUUGACACACGAUGUUCCAUUAAUUUCAGGUGUACAACAUAGUGAGUUGACAAGUCUUUAUGUUAUGCUAUGCUCACCACAACUGUACCUAUCAUCUGUCGCCUUAUACAAUAUUAUAAUACCAUUGACUAUAUUCUCUAUGCUGUACCUUUUAUUCCUGUGACUUCUUCAUUCCAUAACUGGAAGCAAUAAAAAAUACAUUUUUAAA
Long non-coding RNA from Nyctereutes procyonoides (raccoon dog), 1965 nucleotides. RefSeq lists it as uncharacterized. The transcript is spliced from 4 exons. The record is from RefSeq and is a predicted model, not a curated record. Lineage: Eukaryota; Metazoa; Chordata; Mammalia; Carnivora; Canidae.